Non-coding RNA from Corynebacterium glutamicum ATCC 13032, 210 nucleotides. The record is from Rfam. Lineage: Bacteria; Bacillati; Actinomycetota; Actinomycetes; Mycobacteriales; Corynebacteriaceae.
AGAAACUGUUUCAUUGAUACACAGAAUGACGGAGUAACGCCCUGAAAUGUGCACACCAAGCUACGGUAUGCGGUUUGAACAAAAUAGAACUGUAUAAAGCCCGUUAGAGUCGGCAGAAGGUCGGUCGUAAAGGUGCUGGGAUUUGAUCACAGUAGCUACGAAAGCGUCAGAGUGAUCUGAUGUGCCGCUGAUAUGCCGGGUGUCCAGAAA